This is a long non-coding RNA of Varroa destructor (honeybee mite), 3995 nucleotides long. NCBI's taxonomy places the organism in Eukaryota, Metazoa, Arthropoda, Arachnida, Mesostigmata, Varroidae. The record is from RefSeq and is a predicted model, not a curated record.
UCCACCAACAGAUGAUCCGUUCAUGCCCCGUUGUGCCAGCUGCUGGACGACAAUACGUCGGCUAAGGCGAUAAGCGAAACAUGGAAACGUUCCGUUUGCAUAAAACUUGGAAAUCGGUAGAAUUGUGAUUGAAAAAUGACGCUUCUGUCCCACCUAAAGGCGUGUGUCGUUUUUUUUGGUUUCAUAUUUAAACUAUGUGCCGAAGACAACAGUGACGAAGAUAGAAGUUGAAGAAGGUGAGCCAGUAACCGCUGGGGUGGCAGGAGACGGGUUGAACUGUUAAUCGCAAUUAUAAAGGCGUAAAGGUCUAACGCAGGCAACAGCGUAUACGUCAGGCCGGCACUGAUUCUACGACACGAUCAGCGGAACCUACUGGCCACGAAAUUACGUACGACAACGAUCAAACCUAAAAUACAUCUCUAGGCACCUUUCACAUGAUACACGUCGCUCGUAAAUCGUUACGCGAACGGACACUGCGACAAUCGAUCGUGGCUUAAACGUGUGGAUCUUGGUUUCCGUUGAGCUACUGCCAUCAUUGACCAGAGGAAUCACUGCAAAGGCGCUCAGACAUUUCUGUCCCCUGACGCAAGCAUUCAAUGACGGGAAAAGCUGUGAGGCAGGAGUAUAAACUACUUUCUGCAAGUGUCUAUGCUAUACUAACACAUAUCUCCUUAAAAAUCGAUAAUCAUCCCUAUAUAGCUCGCUUCGUUACUGAACAGCAUCCAACAUUUAAGGGAUUUUCUAUUAGAGAAUAUAGGUUGAUUCAUCAAUACCGGUUGCAUGUAUGUAUGUAUGUAUGUAUGUAUAUAUAUAUAUAUAUAUAUGUUUAAUUAUUGGCGAUCUGAGCAAAAACAAAUAACUUAUUAUUUAAUCGAGAGAAAGAGAAGUGGCUCAAUAGUACAAAACAUGUCUAUUCUACAGAAAGGUGUCUACUUUCCAACUGUUUUGGACAAACGUAAGAAGGAACCUUUUUCGCGGAACAAUAACGAAACGAAGUCGGCUGAUCUACAGCCAGUGCGCGAAUCAUCCACAUGUUUCUCUACAAGACACCACCGUAAGGAGAUUAAGAGUCACGUUUAUCCGUCCGCAGUGAGACAUCUGCAUGCACAGCACAUAGCUCAUACACAUUAUUAAGCUGGGUUCUUAUGGCACACAUCAUAAGUAGGGUAGCUAUAGCGUCGUGUGAAGAAAUAGGUCAAAACGAAUAGGAUAACUAUCUGGCUAGCAGGCAGAGGAGUAUUUCAGCAAAGAAUUUUCAUGCCACUACAAUUAAUGGGGAGCAUCUUGUACGUCAGCCUCCCUGUAAUGGGGGCUGUCGCUUAUCUUCAAUAUGUUAACUCAUCAAUUAUUGUUGUCUUUAGUAGCAGGUCUAUAUUCAGCGCGAGCGAGAUUUUCUAUUAAAAACCGCUCGUCUUGUUAGUUCUAUAGGGGCCGUUCGAACUUUGCGUCUAUAAUGCCUUCUCUGUAAUAGUGACUGCAUAGCUAAAUAACCGAUAACAGGCAACAGCAAAAAGCAACUGUCAGUAUUGUGGACACCAAUUGCCAUCGUCGUUGUCGGCAUUGAGAUGAUCAGGAUCUUCAUCGCUUGCACCGCCCUCCUCUCAUAGGCCGUCUGCUUGUCACGCCCAAGACAAGUGUAUAUAUCCUAAUGACUUGUCUUGCUGACUGGUCCACUCGAGCAUUGUCUCUUGCCUGUUGCUUACUAUUCGUUGUGCAAUAGCUUUCCUCGUUGCGGACCGCCGCUAUCACAUCGAUAGCAUCACUCUUCGCCGUCGCUUAUUGGCAACACAUUUGUCGGCUGAAGAUUUAGCUAGAGCUAGCUGUCAUUGACCUAACGUGCCAUUGCUAGCAAGAAUGAGUCUCACAUACAUAGGGUUCUGAAGUUACCCCUCGUUGUCUUUAGCACACGAAAAGCAUAUGAAACUUGAUGACGACGACGACGACGAUGGCAGCGGCUGUGAUUGCAGCCCGUAAAAGAACAAGUCAAAUAUAAUAAACUUACUUGUGUAGCCAUUUGCUUUUCUCUCUCAAUAGAUAUGCGUGUGUAUCUGGAUAUAUAUGUGUGUAUACAUUAUAGAUGUGCAGUUAUCCCAAGAGUACUAUGCCGGUUCGUGCGCCCCUACAAAGCGAUACGGCGCCGAUCUUCCACGGUCAACAGCGUUUAACGGAGAGAGCGAGAGAGAGAGGUAGACAAUAAGGAGUUGGCAUAUCCUGUUACUUUGUUUAUAGCUUUCGCGCGGCGUGGGUGAAAAUUCGGACGCGAACGAGAAGUCUUCAAACCGUGGAUCACAAAACGGCGUCCUACAACGCUCGAGUCAUUCCGCGGGCCGCAAACUCCACACGGAGUAGACUGUAAAGUAAAACCGCCGACGACAAUAACAACAUACAGUGACGCAUACGGCGCUUAAGUUAAGCGGUGACGCCGCGUAGGAAUAUUACGGGGGCUGGCAAAAAGAUGGGGGAAAGUCCGAGAAGAUGGUAGAUAUGCACAAAACGUAUUGCUGUUGUGGCUCUUUUUGUACGACUGUAGCGAAGACAUGUUGAAGACCAUCGAGCAGCGCAACGGAUUGAGAUAUAUACGGUGACAGGCAGUGGAACGCUGUUGACGUCGGGAACGCGUAAAGACAAAGGACUCGCGGCAGAGAUCGUCGUACCAGCAGCAGCAGCAGCAGCAGCGGUAUUGCUGAAGGCAAUACUGUGGAGUACUUUACAGGGAAUGCCACAAAGACAGCGAGGAGAAAAGGUCCGCCAAAAACAUCAUUACAAGCAGGAACUGUAGAAGCAAAGCGUUUCAGGGCAGGUCGCGACUCGUUUUAGUCAGGGCAAGCCAACGACGAGUCACGAGACUGCGCGGCGACCAACGUCACGAGACAGUCAACAAGGAAAUAUGUGCGACGCAGGAUAUAUAGUCAGUUAGACAACAUGCACAGUCACAGAUGCAAAUGUAAAGAGGGAAAAUAAGGGGCCAACUGACGAAGGGUGGAGCGUCCACGAGGUAACCGAUGGCGGGAGGAGCAUGAACGAUUGUGAUUGCGACAACAAUGGCGACAACGAUUUGGCUUCUUAACUUGAACAACAGCUUGAGUUGGGUCUCACAGCGGCUGGUGAUGGCAGCUUGAGCAGAAGUUCCAUUCGUCUGUUAAUAGGGAGUUGGGAGCUGGUUUUCACAAUAAUCGUAUUAUUGUUGUAGCUGCGGUCGGAGCAGUAACCGAGAGCUGAAACUUCCUCCUCAUCCUGAUUUUUGUCGCUGUAAAACCUGUGAUGCGGAUGGAAGAUGGCAUGGUGGAUGCUCGAUUAACGUUGCCACGUUCCUGCAGCUGCUUCACAGAAGACUAUGACUGAAGAUUGAGCACCGAAAAGCAAACGAAUCGAGCAGAAAUUACAGUGGCUAGUAACACAGGCUAGCGGCUUAUCAGGGCCCGAGGACGAAAAUGCGAUGGCAUCGGUUAAUAUAAAGGUACAUGCUGGAAGCUGGGACGAUUGUGCUAAGGCCAAAUUGGCCACAUGCAUACAAAAGGAUCGAUUGUGAUUAUGGUUUUGCCGCGGUCAUCGCUGUCGACACCAUCAACAAUGAAGUCUAAUAGAGCGGAACAAUAGCUCAAUUGAAUGCUUACGCUAUAAAUUCAGAAUCGAAAAUCUUAGAGACGAUAAACAAAUUGCUAUAUAUAAUUAGGAAAAAAAAGAUUACAACUACAGAUAUAAAGCCGAAUGUUUUAUCUGGCAUCGUGCACUUAAUUAGUGUUCUUAUGCGUGAUUACUAGACAGAAAAAUCAUAAUAGGUGUCAACUAAAAGUUUGUGUUUUGUUGUUUAACAUGUUGAAUUCAGUUACAUAGAGGAAGCAUUUUUUGGACCAUGUUUGUUGUUAACAGUUCGAUGACCUGGUGUUUACCGCGUAUUUUUAUACCAGGUACCCGUUUUCAAAAUAAGCGCACUAUAAUUUUAAAUAUUAUGCAAAAAAUUAUUUAAUUUUAAGCACAUAUAUAUGCUACUCUUA